RNAcentral lists this ribosomal RNA (502 nucleotides) under uncultured bacterium. RNAcentral describes it as "partial 16S ribosomal RNA". It matches the Rfam family "Bacterial small subunit ribosomal RNA", at positions 30 to 523 of the family's 1533-position model. The record is from RNAcentral.
AUUGAACGCUGGCGGAAUGCUUUACACAUGCAAGUCGAACGGCAGCAUAGGUGCUUGCACCUGAUGGCGAGUGGCGAACGGGUGAGUAAUACAUCGGAACGUGCCCAGUCGUGGGGGAUAACGUAGCGAAAGUUACGCUAAUACCGCAUACGAUCUACGGAUGAAAGCGGGGGACCGUAAGGCCUCGCGCGAUUGGAGCGGCCGAUGUCAGAUUAGGUAGUUGAUGGGGUAAAGGCCCACCAAGCCAACGAUCUGUAGCUGGUCUGAGAGGACGACCAGCCACACUGGGACUGAGACACGGCCCAGACUCCUACGGGAGGCAGCAGUGGGGAAUUUUGGACAAUGGGCGAAAGCCUGAUCCAGCCAUUCCGCGUGCAGGAUGAAGGCCCUCGGGUUGUAAACUGCUUUUGUACAGAACGAAAAGGUUUCUACUAAUACUAGGAGCUCAUGACGGUACUGUAAGAAUAAGCACCGGCUAACUACGUGCCAGCAGCCGCAGUAA